Biomphalaria pfeifferi is the source of this 2096-nucleotide non-coding RNA. Lineage: Eukaryota; Metazoa; Mollusca; Gastropoda; Planorbidae. The record is from the annotation of a GenBank genome assembly.
AUUUUUCAUGUUUUUUUUUAAAUUUAUUAUUUAUUUAAUGGCAACAUAGAUAAGAAAGUCAACAUGUUUAAAACAAAAUAUUAACAAUAAAACAGUUUUAUUGAAAACCAAAAAUUAACUUUUUUCCAGCUAAGUUUUGGGGGCGUCGUGGCUGAGGGGUAAAGCGCUUGGCUUUCAAACCUGGAAUUUUUUAUUUUGAGAUCUUUUAGGCAUCUAUGAUUCCACAUUACGUGGUAUGUGACAUUAGUGAAAAGUAAAUACAGCUGGUCCUUGUGCUGGCCACAUGACCCUCCUCAUAAACCAUGUGCCACAGAAACAGAUGACCUUUAAUCAUCUUCCGUAUAGACCGCAUGGGGAACUAUACUUUUUUGUAACUUGUAGAUAAAAAUAAAUUUUAUAAAACAUUGUUUAGUGGAUACUGGUACAAGAAAAAAAAAGAUUCGGUUGUUAUGUAAUAUUAAAAGUAUCAAUCAGGUCUCAAGAAGAACUAAUUAGUCUCCUAUCAGCAAUGUGUUAUGGAAGCUGUUCAAGGAAAACAAAAUGUUGGAUUCCAUCUGCUUUAAAAGGUUGACACAUUAAAUGAAUUGUUUUCAAUAUGUGCUUAACAGCAGAAGAGCUACAAAAACUUAUUGUAUAGAAAAUACCAUAGACAUAUAUAUAUAGGAAAUCCUGCAGGACCAAAGAAAAAAGGCAGGAUGUUUGGGCCAAAAGGCCUUCAUCAACAAAGACAUUUUUUGUUAACUUAUCUGACUGUAAGUUACUCUACUUAUCUUAUGACUUUUAUGCAUCUGCUAUCUAGCAUAUUGACAGGAGUCCCAUUCUCGCUCGGGGAGGGGGGGUUGGAGGGGGGCACAGUUCAAUUACUGCCACAACUCUCAUUAUUGCAAGGGUUAUCUCCCAUUAGCUUAGUUCAUUUUCCAUAUAAAACUAAAUAAAUUAAUUACAACUAAUUUAUAAACAAAUUUUUUUAAAAUUCAUGGGCUGUCAUCGACAAGGAAUAAUUGUUUCAACUUGAUCUGAGAAAUAAUGUGUACAAGAUUUUGCCCAGACAGACAGACAAACUGAGUGAGUUGAUAUAAGCUUGGUAAUAAAUAGAAACUCACAACUGAAUGAGAUAAUAAAGAUGACAAUAUGAAGUACAAUGUGUCUAAUUUACAAGUUCUAAAGACUCACAUUAUAACAUCAAGUAAAAUGAAUUUAAUAGUUGUAGCUGUAUUCUAUCAAACAUAAAGGUAUGGUCAAUAUGGUAACACUGCUAUCAAUACAUAAACAAGAUGAAACAGAAAGUAGUUUAGAGCAUAAUGCAUGGUCCCCAGACAUAAUGCAUUAAUUCAAACUCUUAACUUUUGAUGUGUUUCAAUUACAUGGUCCCCAAACAUAAUGCAUUGAUUCAGACUCUUAACUUUGAUGUGAUUUAAUAAAAUAACAACAAUGAACUAAAAAAAAAGUUAAAAGACAUUUCAUGGUCAGUGUCACUGAAAUAAAAAAAAUGUUUUGAAUUGAGCUGCAAUAUUUAUGAACUAACUGAUACACUAAAAAUAUUUACACACAAAAAAAUAUGGAUCAAAGCAUGUUUGUGGUUUGAGAAUAGUUUGUGGCUUGAGAAUAUGCUCCUCUUGAAAUAAGAACAUGAUUUUUUUAAAUAUAGAAAAAAGACCACCUAAGAUUUAGUUGUUUGUGCAAAGACAUUAAAUGUAAAUUCUAGUAAAUAUUUAGAUUGAGCUGUAAUUUAUAAGACAAGAUUUUUAAAUAGUUUAUGAUGAACAAUCCACUGAAAAGCAAACUAACUGAUUAUAGAAAAAUGUAAAUGACAAAAUUCUUUCAUUUUGUCCUAAAGAAUAACAGAAUCUAGAGGAUUUAUCUUGAUUCAGGCAGUUUAAUUUAGCCUGUGAAAGUUUUUAGAAAAUAUAUGGACCAGUGUUUGAUGAUACCAGAAGGCAGAUACACAUGAUCAAGGAGCAAUACCAGCUCUAGAACCUUUCUAUAGUGCCACAAUUUUAAAUAAAUUAUGCUAGGAUGGUCAGGUUGGAAGAAUGUCAAAGAAUAAAGAGGUGCCGGUAAUUGGGUAGUACCAUCAAAAAAAAAAAAAAAAAAAA